GUACAUGUAUCAGCAAGUAUGGAAGCCCUGAGGUCAGAGUCAUAUGGAAUGUUUGAGAAUAAAGCCAAGGUGCCUAGAACUAGUGAAAGAAAGAGUAGUAGGAAGUAAGAUCAUGGAGGAAUCUAGAGUUCAGACCCUAUAGGACCCUUUAGACUGUGAUAAAAGGGUUCAGAAUUUUUUUCCAAGUGUUAAGGGAAAUCACUGGUAAUAUUAUAUGAUUUAUAUUUUUAAAGAGUAAGUAGCUACUUUGUGGAAGAUAAACCAAGGUGGGGGUAGGAGAAGCAUGGUGUAAUAAUAGUACCCCAGCUAAUUGGUUAUUGCAGUAAUCUCAGCUAGUGAGGAUCGUGGCUCAGCAUGGGUGUCGUAAUGGAGGUGAACAGAGUCAAAAAAUAUAUUGAAAGUAGUGUUGCUAGCUCUUGAUAAUGAAUUGAAUGUGAGGUUUGGAGAAAGUUAGACAUCAGUCUAAUGUAAAAGAAUUUAGGCCUAUAGAAAAAAAUUUUGGAGUCAUCAGAUUAUGGAUUAUAAAGUCAUGGGAUUUGAUGAGAUCACUGAGGAAUAAGUGUAAAUAGAGAAAAGAUCUCAGAACUGAUUCCUGAAGCACUAAACAAAAAGUAAAAAAAAAAAAAAAAAAAAGAAAGAAGAGGAGUACCUGGAUGGUACAGUCAGUUUUGUCUAGGUUGUGAUCUCAGGGUAAUGGUUCCAGUCCCUAAGGAGGCUCCAUGUCUCAGGGAGAAGUCUACUUGAAUUCUCUGUCUCUCUCUCUCUGCCCCUCCCCACUCUCUAAUUUAAAAAUGGCAGUAAUAAGUCCUUCCUUGUCAGUAAUUUUUAAACAUGUAAAUAAAUGAAAUUCUCCAAUCAAGAAUCAUGGAAUGGGGCGGCUUGGAUGGCUCAGCGAUUUAGCGCCACCUUCAGCCCAGGACAUCAUCCUGGAGACGCAGGAUCGAGUCCCACGGCAGGCCCCCUGCAUGGAGCCUGCUUCUCCCUCCGCCUGUGUCUAUGUCUCUCUUUCUCUCUGUUGCUCGCUCUCUCUCUCUGUCACUCAUGAAUAAAUAAAGUAAAAAAAAAUGUAUUAAAAAAAACUGAACUUGACAAGAUGAGCACUGGGUGUUAUUCUGUAUGUUGGCAAAUUGAGCACCAAUAAAAAAUAAAUUUAUUAUUAAAAAAAUAAAAAAAUAAAAUAAAUAAAAUAAAAACUGAGGAAGGUAUAUAGAGCUCCCACUUAACUACAGAUGAGUGUAGAAAGACUAAAGUGUAAAUUAUAUUAUACUGGUAUGUCCACAUUCCCAGGGGUUCCAGAAAUACACAAUCAAAACUUCUAGAAGAACAGAAUUCCACACUAAUAAAGUCUACUGAAAGUAUAAUUUAAAUUUAUAUGAUUAGUUAAGGAGAAGAAGUCCUAGAUACAAAGCAGGAAAGGGAACCAGAGAAAGUAGAAGGCAAAUUGAGGUCCUACUUAUAAAUAUUUUCCAUAAACAAGAGAAGAGGAAGCUCUGGAGCCAUGAAUCUAGAAAAGCUAUCUUUUCUGCCACUACCCCAUAUGGGAAUUUCCUAAAAUAGGAAGUCCCAUCUCAGUAAAACAUGAGCAGCAGAAAAUAACUGCAAUAUAAAAUAUAUUGUAAGCAAAGACACCAAUUCUCUGAAUGAGUUGCCAAUGUACAGUGAAGAUACAUAAGAAAAAAUGGCCCAAAAAAAGCCAAAGAAAAUUGUGACUAAAUAUUUCAAAACUAGCCAAAGGAAGUUAAGAAAACAGUAAAAACUAUAAAGGUUGUAUAAUCAAUCAGAAACGUUCAGAGAUAAAAAAGACUAGUUAAGGGGAGGGCAUUAAACGAAAAACAGCUCAAUGAACAAAUAAAAAGAAAAGAAAAAAUUCAGAAGACUAAACUGGAAA
RNAcentral lists this long non-coding RNA (1888 nucleotides) under Canis lupus familiaris (dog). RNAcentral describes it as "lncRNA (ENSCAFG00000057324.1)". The record is from RNAcentral. Lineage: Eukaryota; Metazoa; Chordata; Mammalia; Carnivora; Canidae.